CCCCAAAAUGGCUAUCGCCGCGACGGCGCUGCUGGCGCUGCUGCUGGUCGCCUACGUCUUUUCCGGCGGCGGGGGCGCCAGCCCGCAGGAAGAGCGACUCAUUACGGACCUCAAAGCCGAAGAUUUGAUGACCAACGAGGUUGUGGCAGACGGGAAUGAGGCCAC
This 165-nucleotide unclassified non-coding RNA is filed under the name plant metagenome. RNAcentral describes it as "partial contains 5.8S ribosomal RNA, internal transcribed spacer 2, and large subunit ribosomal RNA". The record is from RNAcentral.